Molecule: small nucleolar RNA, 128 nt
Filed under: Nannospalax galili (Upper Galilee mountains blind mole rat)
Lineage: Eukaryota; Metazoa; Chordata; Mammalia; Rodentia; Spalacidae
Description: Small nucleolar RNA SNORA40 (ENSNGAG00000003339.1)
Rfam family: Small nucleolar RNA SNORA40
About the family: The snoRNA ACA 40 belongs to the H/ACA family of snoRNAs and guides the pseudouridylation of 28S rRNA subunit at position U4565. NB This family has a high threshold value to exclude a large number of closely related sequences that do not appear to have conserved H and ACA boxes, and may be pseudogenes.
Source: Rfam by way of RNAcentral
AGCACCUGUGUGUGUGUUUGUUCAACUGGUGGAAAAGAGUAUGAAAGACAGGUGCAAAAAUAAAUCCUCUCUUGCAACUUAGAACUCAUUGUUCGGUAUGAGUUUUGACACAAACAAGAAGGAAUAUA